RNAcentral lists this ribosomal RNA (460 nucleotides) under uncultured bacterium. Its description in RNAcentral is "partial 16S ribosomal RNA". It matches the Rfam family "Bacterial small subunit ribosomal RNA", at positions 338 to 795 of the family's 1533-position model. The record is from RNAcentral.
CCUACGGGUGGCAGCAGUGAGGAAUAUUGGUCAAUGGACGAGAGUCUGAACCAGCCAAGUAGCGUGAAGGAUGACUGCCCUAUGGGUUGUAAACUUCUUUUAUAUGGGAAUAAAAUGUUCCACGUGUGGGAUUUUGUAUGUACCAUAUGAAUAAGGAUCGGCUAACUCCGUGCCAGCAGCCGCGGUAAUACGGAGGAUCCGAGCGUUAUCCGGAUUUAUUGGGUUUAAAGGGAGCGUAGGUGGAUUGUUAAGUCAGUUGUGAAAGUUUGGGGCUCAACCGUAAAAGUGCAGUUGAAACUGGCAGUCUUGAGUACAGUAGAGGUGGGCGGAAUUCGUGGUGUAGCGGUGAAAUGCUUAGAUAUCACGAAGAACUCCGAUUGCGAAGGCAGUUCACUGGACUGCAACUGACACUGAGGCUCGAAAGUGUGGGUAUCAAACAGGAUUAGAUACCCCAGUAGUC